RNAcentral lists this transfer RNA (562 nucleotides) under Bradyrhizobium sp. S1.39. Its description in RNAcentral is "partial 16S-23S ribosomal RNA intergenic spacer". The stretch from base 66 to 138 matches the Rfam family "tRNA". Lineage: Bacteria; Pseudomonadati; Pseudomonadota; Alphaproteobacteria; Hyphomicrobiales; Nitrobacteraceae. The record is from RNAcentral.
GGUCGGAAGUUCAAGUCUUCCCAGGCCCACCACACUCAUCGAGUGAGCAUUCGUCUUCUGGUUACGGGGCCAUAGCUCAGCUGGGAGAGCGCGUGCUUUGCAAGCAUGAGGUCGUCGGUUCGAUCCCGUCUGGCUCCACCAGAUGGUUUGAUCACCGACUACUCAUACCGUCGUCCGCGAAACAUCACUUCGCACUUACUAGUCCGGAUGGACAGUAAGCUGCGUGAUUUCUGACAUCGUAAAGAGGAGAUCGAUCCGAGUUGGAUCGGGCAACAAGUAAUUGUUGCGCGAUACUUCAUUAUCUCCGGAUCAUUUCGGCGCUCGUGCGUCUUCCAGGGUAGCUCACAAGGCUGCGUCUGAAGGACACGCGAGUUGUAAAUGAUCCUUUUAGCGAAGCUUGACCGCCUCGCUAUCGGAACGAUCUUACGAAGCAAGCUGGUCUUUCUAAUCAUUGUCCGGCUGCAGAUAGCGUUCAUCGAGGGCGCGUGCCUUAGAGACUUAGGUUUCUUGGCAAUUCUGCAGACAACAUUCUGCCGAGUGUGUGGACAUUGAUAAUGAGAGC